UACGGAGGGGCCAGCGUUGCUCGGAAUUACUGGGCGUAAAGGGCUUGUAGGCGGUCUGAUAAGUCCUGUGUGAAAUCCCCUGGCUCAACCAGGGAACUGCGCCGGAUACUGUCGGACUAGAGGCCGGGAGAGGGAAGCGGAAUUCCCAGUGUAGCGGUGAAAUGCGUAGAUAUUGGGAGGAACACCGGUGGCGUAGGCGGCUUCCUGGACCGGUUCUGACGCUGAGGAGCGAAAGCUA
RNAcentral lists this ribosomal RNA (238 nucleotides) under uncultured bacterium. Its description in RNAcentral is "partial 16S ribosomal RNA". It matches the Rfam family "Bacterial small subunit ribosomal RNA", at positions 524 to 762 of the family's 1533-position model. The record is from RNAcentral.